UGAACUUCAUUAUUGCAUGCGUCUAGAUUUUCAGGUAAAACCAACGUGCCCGCGAUUGUUGUUACAGGUUGGACUGUAUUUCACAAGAAAAAGAUAAAAAUGUCAGGAAGAGAAGGAGGAAAAAAGAAGCCUUUAAAGGCUGCAAAGAAACAACAGCAGGAUCUUGAUGAUGAUGACGUAGCGUUAAAGCAGAAACUGAAAGACGAACAGAAAGCCUUACAAGCUGCGAAAGACAAAGCUGGAAAGAAAGGACCCAUGGGUGCUUCAGGCAUAAAGAAAUCAGGGAAGAAAUGACCCUGACAAAAUGGGGAUAUGGGGGCUGGAGGACAAAGCUUUUCUGCAUCACUUUAACACAAACACAUCAGAUCAUGGAUAAAUGUGUCGUCAUGCCUGGCGUUUCAUCGUCAAGGGACUUUGUAAUUGUAAAUAUCUAAAAUAUUGAUUCCCAAUCAUGUUCUACCAAGUCUUUUUGCAUGAUUCAAAUAUCAUCAGAUCUGUCCAAGUGAAACAAACAUAAACAAACGACGGAAAGUGAAUAUUCAGUAAAUCCUUAUUUCUUUGAAUGCAGACAAGCAUUAGACUGUUUCCUGAUUUUAGAAAUAAUAAUUAUCAAGGAUGGACAUUAGCCAUUUCAAUGUUAGUAGUUUCCCAGGUUGUAGAUACAUACUUGAAAAUUGUUUUUUAUUAUUGGUUGUCUUGUAAUAAGUACAUAAAGAAAUUCGGACAUUAUUUAUGCACAACAUAGUCUUACUUUCUGAUGAUGUCUAGUGUUAUUCUAUAAUCUAGAAAUUAAAGCCAAUAGUCUUUAAUAUUCUUGUUAUUUUCUAUAAUUGAAACCGUUCAGCCCUGACUAAAUGUAAAAUUUAACUCUGCCUGAUGCUGAUACCCAAGUAUUGUAUGCGUUCAUUUGAUGUUUCACAUGAAUAUAUAGAGAUGCAUUGUGCAAUAUAUAUAAAGAUACACAUGCAGACUUACUUAAAACAGAAAAAAUCUUAUCUUUUCACGUCUUCAAUAUGUUUUAUGUGUAUUUGAUGUAAAAAAAAAGAUCUUUUGAAAAGGAAGUGCCAAUAUGAUAUUGGGAAAAAAAUAAAAGCAUGACAUAAUGAAACGUGA
Mizuhopecten yessoensis (Yesso scallop) is the source of this 1113-nucleotide long non-coding RNA. RefSeq lists it as uncharacterized. The transcript has 4 exons. The record is from RefSeq and is a predicted model, not a curated record. Lineage: Eukaryota; Metazoa; Mollusca; Bivalvia; Pectinida; Pectinidae.